RNAcentral lists this ribosomal RNA (497 nucleotides) under uncultured bacterium. Its description in RNAcentral is "partial 16S ribosomal RNA". It matches the Rfam family "Bacterial small subunit ribosomal RNA", at positions 28 to 507 of the family's 1533-position model. The record is from RNAcentral.
GAUGAACGCUGGCGGCGUGCCUAAUACAUGCAAGUCGAGCGAACAGAUGAGGAGCUUGCUCCUCUGACGUUAGCGGCGGACGGGUGAGUAACACGUGGAUAACCUACCUAUAAGACUGGGAUAACUUCGGGAAACCGGAGCUAAUACCGGAUAAUAUAUUGAACCGCAUGGUUCAAUAGUGAAAGACGGUUUUGCUGUCACUUAUAGAUGGAUCCGCGCCGCAUUAGCUAGUUGGUAAGGUAACGGCUUACCAAGGCAACGAUGCGUAGCCGACCUGAGAGGGUGAUCGGACACACUGGAACUGAGCCACGGUCCAGACUCCUACGGGAGGCAGCAGUAGGGAAUCUUCCGCAAAGGGAGAAAGCCUGACGGAGCAACGCCGCGUGAGUGAUGAAGGUCUUCGGAUCGUAAAACUCUGUUAUUAGGGAAGAACAAAUGUGUAAGUAACUAUGCACGUCUUGACGGUACCUAAUCAGAAAGCCACGGCUAACUACGUG